GAUGAACGCUGGCGGCGUGCCUAAUACAUGCAAGUCGAGCGAACGGACGAGAAGCUUGCUUCUCUGAUGUUAGCGGCGGACGGGUGAGUAACACGUGGAUAACCUACCUAUAAGACUGGGAUAACUUCGGGAAACCGGAGCUAAUACCGGAUGAUAUUUUGAACCGCAUGGUUCAAAAGUGAAAGACGGUCUUGCUGUCACUUAUAGCUGGAUCCGCGCUGCAUUAGCUAGUUGGUAAGGUAACGGCUUACCAAGGAAACGAUGCAUAGCCGACCUGAGAGGGUGAUCGGCCACACUGGAACUGAGACACGGUCCAGACUCCUACGGGAGGCAGCAGUAGGGAAUCUUCCGCAAUGGGCGAAAGCCUGACGGAGCAACGCCGCGUGAGUGAUGAAGGUCUUCGGAUCGUAAAACUCUGUUAUUAGGGAAGAACAUAUGUGUAAGUAACUGUGCACAUCUUGACGGUACCUAAUCAGAAAGCCACGGCUAACUACGUG
This 497-nucleotide ribosomal RNA is filed under the name uncultured bacterium. Its description in RNAcentral is "partial 16S ribosomal RNA". It matches the Rfam family "Bacterial small subunit ribosomal RNA", at positions 28 to 507 of the family's 1533-position model. The record is from RNAcentral.